Trichonephila clavipes is the source of this 74-nucleotide non-coding RNA. NCBI's taxonomy places the organism in Eukaryota, Metazoa, Arthropoda, Arachnida, Araneae, Nephilidae. The record is from the annotation of a GenBank genome assembly.
GUACCUGGUAGCGAAAUGGAUUGCGCGUUGGAAUUUUGAUCCAAAGGUCGUGGAUUCCAAUCCCACCUAGGAUG